Molecule: ribosomal RNA, 404 nt
Filed under: uncultured bacterium
Lineage: Bacteria
Description: bacterial SSU rRNA
Rfam family: Bacterial small subunit ribosomal RNA
Source: RNAcentral
UGGGGAAUAUUGCACAAUGGGGGAAACCCUGAUGCAGCGACGCCGCGUGAGCGAUGAAGUAUUUCGGUAUGUAAAGCUCUAUCAGCAGGGAAGAAGAUGACGGUACCUGACUAAGAAGCCCCGGCUAACUACGUGCCAGCAGCCGCGGUAAUACGUAGGGGGCAAGCGUUAUCCGGAUUUACUGGGUGUAAAGGGAGCGUAGACGGCGAUGCAAGCCAGAUGUGAAAGCCCGGGGCUCAACCCCGGGACUGCAUUUGGAACUGUGUGGCUGGAGUGUCGGAGAGGCAGGCGGAAUUCCUAGUGUAGCGGUGAAAUGCGUAGAUAUUAGGAGGAACACCAGUGGCGAAGGCGGCCUGCUGGACGAUGACUGACGUUGAGGCUCGAAAGCGUGGGGAGCAAACAGG